Molecule: long non-coding RNA, 564 nt
Organism: Centropristis striata (black sea bass)
Lineage: Eukaryota; Metazoa; Chordata; Actinopteri; Perciformes; Serranidae
Exons: 3
Source: RefSeq, a predicted model, not a curated record
AGCUCGGAGCACACUGUCAUCCGAGGCUGCUGAGGAGAUGUCGGGAUGCUGGCAGCAGUAUCGGCUCGGCCUCGCGGUUUAUCUUUGCUCACAGAAGCUAAAUGAAUGCCAGUGUUUGAAUAAAAACACUUCUGUGGGUUUGGAUCCACGCACUGUGCAGGUUUCAGUCUCAGGCAGUGAAGGCUUUCUCCCUGGACUCCUGGCUCUUCUAGUUUGGUUACACUUGAGAAGUGAUGGUACAAACUUGCGUUAGAAUGGACUUGAACCGGAGAUGCGGGAUUUAUUCACAGUUUAAGGCUUGAAUCUGUGGCGUGCAGACAGAGGUGCAGUCACACAGAAAUACACACACCCCAUCUGCAGGCCUGUGUCUGAACCUGCAGGACAACAGGUCAGAGGAGACACGCAGCACCCCCUGCUCUCAGGUCCAGAGGUCACAGACUGGGUUAGAAGAAGACUUCAUCACUCCACUCAAGUAACAGCAGGAAGAGGAGGAGGAGGAGGCAGUGGAGGAGGAAAAAGAGAAGCAGAGUGGGUGGAAGGAUGGAAGGAGAGAAGGAUAGAAGC